Molecule: long non-coding RNA, 226 nt
Filed under: Mytilus galloprovincialis (Mediterranean mussel)
Lineage: Eukaryota; Metazoa; Mollusca; Bivalvia; Mytilida; Mytilidae
Source: RNAcentral
UUUUUUGAAAUCUAAAAAUGAAAUAAAGCAUGCACUUAAUAUAAUAGAAACCUUUGGAUCGCUCUCUGGACUCAAACUCAAUAGAAACAAAACAGAAGGUAUAUGGCUAGGUAAACUUAAACACUGCAAGGAUAAAUUCGAAAACAUUGAUUGGAAACAUAACGUAAAAAGUCUUGGGAUUUAUUUUGGCUCUGACAAGAAAGAAUGUCAAAAACUUAAUACAGAA